AGUGAACGCUGGCGGUAGGCCUAACACAUGCAAGUCGAACGGCAGCACAGUAAGAGCUUGCUCUUACGGGUGGCGAGUGGCGGACGGGUGAGGAAUACAUCGGAAUCUACUUUUUCGUGGGGGAUAACGUAGGGAAACUUACGCUAAUACCGCAUACGACCUACGGGUGAAAGCAGGGGAUCUUCGGACCUUGCGCGUUUGAAUGAGCCGAUGUCGGAUUAGCUAGUUGGCGGGGUAAAGGCCCACCAAGGCGACGACCCGUAGCUGGUCUGAGAGGAUGAUCAGCCACACUGGAACUGAGACACGGUCCAGACUCCUACGGGAGGCAGCAGUGGGGAAUAUUGGGCAAUGGGCGCAAGCCUGAUCCAGCCAUACCGCGUGAGUGAAGAAGGCCUUCGGGUUGUAAAGCCCUUUUGUUGGGAAAGAAAAGCAGCAGGUUAAUACCCCGCUGUUCUGACGGUACCCAAAGAAUAAGCACCGGCUAACUUCGUG
This 492-nucleotide ribosomal RNA is filed under the name uncultured bacterium. RNAcentral describes it as "partial 16S ribosomal RNA". It matches the Rfam family "Bacterial small subunit ribosomal RNA", at positions 29 to 507 of the family's 1533-position model. The record is from RNAcentral.